This 306-nucleotide unclassified non-coding RNA is filed under the name Hevea brasiliensis (rubber tree). The record is from RNAcentral. Lineage: Eukaryota; Viridiplantae; Streptophyta; Magnoliopsida; Malpighiales; Euphorbiaceae.
AUUUUUUUAUAUAGGUUGAUAUUGUAUAUAGUUUUUGUCUUUAUUUGUUCAAUUAGAAAAAUAAUAUAUCCAAUCUUAUCUAUUAUUUAGUACAUUUUGUAUAAAAGUUAUUUAUUUAUUAAGUUAAAAUCUAAAGAUUUUUGUGAGAUAAAUUAAAUUUGAGAGAUGUGUGUAUUAUAUUUAUUGAAAUUGGGGAUGAUAAUUGAAAUUUAGCCAUAGUUAACCUGGAAACCUGUAAUAGCAGGUUACAUAAAUUUUAAUGAUAUUCAAAUUGAAGUUUAGAGAUUUUUAUGAUACAAAUUAAAG